CAUGGGGGAAACCCUGAUGCAGCGACGCCGCGUGGAGGAAGAAGGUCUUCCGNAUUGUAAACUCCUGUUGUUGAGGAAGAUAAUGACGGUACUCAACAAGGAAGUGACGGCUAACUACGUGCCAGCAGCCGCGGUAAAACGUAGGUCACAAGCGUUGUCCGGAAUUACUGGGUGUAAAGGGAGCGCAGGCGGGANAACAAGUUGGAAGUGAAAUCCAUGGGCUCAACCCAUGAACUGCUUUCAAAACUGUUUUUCUUGAGUAGUGCAGAGGUAGGCGGAAUUCCCGGUGUAGCGGUGGAAUGCGUAGAUAUCGGGAGGAACACCAGUGGCGAAGGCGGCCUACUGGGCACCAACUGACGCUGAGGCUCGAAAGUGUGGGUAGCAAACAGGAUUAGAUACCCUGGUAGUCCAAGGGCGAAUUC
This 422-nucleotide ribosomal RNA is filed under the name uncultured bacterium. RNAcentral describes it as "SSU rRNA". It matches the Rfam family "Bacterial small subunit ribosomal RNA", at positions 370 to 808 of the family's 1533-position model. The record is from RNAcentral.